Molecule: ribosomal RNA, 253 nt
Filed under: uncultured bacterium
Lineage: Bacteria
Description: partial 16S ribosomal RNA
Rfam family: Bacterial small subunit ribosomal RNA
Source: RNAcentral
UACGUAGGGUGCGAGCGUUAAUCGGAAUUACGGGGCGUAAAGCGUGCGCAGGCGGUUCGCUGUGUCCGAUGUGAAAGCCCCGGGCUUAACCUGGGAAUGGCAUUGGAAACUGGCGAGCUGGAGUGUGGCAGAGGGGGGUGGAAUUCCGCGUGUAGCAGUGAAAUGCGUAGAGAUGCGGAGGAACACCGAUGGCGAAGGCAGCCCCCUGGGUUAACACUGACGCUCAGGCACGAAAGCGUGGGGAGCAAACAGG